UAGGGAAUCUUCGGCAAUGGACGAAAGUCUGACCGAGCAACGCCGCGUGAGUGAAGAAGGUUUUCGGAUCGUAAAACUCUGUUGUUAGAGAAGAACAAGGACGUUAGUAACUGAACGUCCCCUGACGGUAUCUAACCAGAAAGCCACGGCUAACUACGUGCCAGCAGCCGCGGUACUACGUAGGUGGCAAGCGUUGUCCGGAUUUAUUGGGCGUAAAGCGAGCGCAGGCGGUUUCUUAAGUCUGAUGUGAAAGCCCCCGGCUCAACCGGGGAGGGUCAUUGGAAACUGGGGGACUUGAGUGCAGAAGAGGAGAGUGGAAUUCCAUGUGUAGCGGUGAAAUGCGUAGAUAUAUGGAGGAACACCGGUGGCGAAGGCGGCUCUCUGGUCUGUAACUGACGCUGAGGCUCGAAAGCGUGGGGAGCAAACAGG
Molecule: ribosomal RNA, 429 nt
Filed under: Gemmatimonadota bacterium
Lineage: Bacteria; Pseudomonadati; Gemmatimonadota
Description: Gemmatimonadetes bacterium partial 16S ribosomal RNA
Rfam family: Bacterial small subunit ribosomal RNA
Source: RNAcentral